Molecule: non-coding RNA, 729 nt
Organism: Meleagris gallopavo (turkey)
Lineage: Eukaryota; Metazoa; Chordata; Aves; Galliformes; Phasianidae
Source: RefSeq, a predicted model, not a curated record
GAAUGCCGGCCUUGGAGCGGCGGGUAUGUGUUAGCGAGGUGUGGCAGCGCGAGUAUUAUAAGUCAGCUAAGCACAGAGUUAUGCUGUGCUUAAGCUGCUGCCAAGGUACGAGUGAGCACCUGAGCAGAAAGGAACCGGAGCUGUUGGAAAAUGGGACAGGUCUUUUCUGAGGUCUUCCCGACGUGCCCUUCCCCAUCACUACUUCAUCUUUCCACGUGUUUUCAUCCUCCUUAUGCCUCUCUGCCCCUUCAGCUCAGUAUCUGCCUGUCGCAGGAUGGCAUGAGGAAGCCUCUGUCACCUACAGGAGCUGCCAAGUGCCUCUCUGUGGCAUGCUGUUCCCGCACAGCUGAGUGCGACAGCCAUGGUGAACCACAACCUUUCAACUCAGCAUGAGCGCAGCCUUGCUUCUGUGAAUAUAGACCCAGCUUCUCAUUUUAUUUUGUGAAAUUAUCAGGGCUCUUGUUGGCAUCAUCAUUUGCUUGGUACUUGGGAUACGUAUUUGCUGCUCAUGUAUCACAAGAGUCACUGUCAACAUCUAUAGCUUAUCUUCAAGACAUUGGAAAGAAACCAGUGUUGAGGGCCCCACUCCCCAGAAGGCAGAAGUGUGAUCACUGGUCUCCCUGCUCACCUGGGAGCUAUGCCUAUCGGAUUCUUAGUGGUGGUGGCAAAGAAAAGCUGGCUAAAAUCUGUUUUGAGGAUGAGCUGUAAGUACCAGACUGACUUUUUAUA